RNAcentral lists this ribosomal RNA (459 nucleotides) under uncultured bacterium. RNAcentral's name for it is "partial 16S ribosomal RNA". It matches the Rfam family "Bacterial small subunit ribosomal RNA", at positions 338 to 795 of the family's 1533-position model. The record is from RNAcentral.
CCUACGGGAGGCAGCAGUGAGGAAUAUUGGUCAAUGGUCGGGAGACUGAACCAGCCAAGCCGCGUGAGGGAUGAAGGUCCAGAGUAUCGUAAACCUCUUUUGUCAGGGAACAAAGGCGUGGACGUGUCCCAGGAUGAGUGUACCUGAAGAACAAGCAUCGUCUAACUCCGUGCCAGCAGCCGCGGUAAUACGGAGGAUGCGAGCGUUAUCCGGAUUUAUUGGGUUUAAAGGGUGCGCAGGUGGUCUGUUAAGUCAGCGGGCAAAGCUGGGGGCCCAACCCCGGCCCGCCGUUGAAACUGGCAGUCUCGAGUUGGAUAGAGGUAGGCGGAAUGCGCGGUGUAGCGGUGAAAUGCAUAGAUAUCGCGCAGAACUCCGAUUGCGAAGGCAGCAUGCCGGCUCCACACUGACGCUGAGGCACGAAAGCGUGGGUAUCGAACAGGAUUAGAUACCCUGGUAGUC